Molecule: ribosomal RNA, 301 nt
Filed under: uncultured bacterium
Lineage: Bacteria
Description: partial 16S ribosomal RNA
Rfam family: Bacterial small subunit ribosomal RNA
Source: RNAcentral
CAGCCGCCGCGGUAAUACGUAGGGUGCAAGCGUUAAUCGGAAUUACUGGGCGUAAAGCGUGCGCAGGCGGUUAUAUAAGACAGAUGUGAAAUCCCCGGGCUCAACCUGGGAACUGCAUUUGUGACUGUAUAGCUAGAGUACGGCAGAGGGGGAUGGAAUUCCGCGUGUAGCAGUGAAAUGCGUAGAUAUGCGGAGGAACACCGAUGGCGAAGGCAAUCCCCUGGGCCUGUACUGACGCUCAUGCACGAAAGCGUGGGGAGCAAACAGGAUUAGAGACCCCAGUAGUCCCUGUCUCUUAUAA